This 534-nucleotide ribosomal RNA is filed under the name uncultured bacterium. RNAcentral's name for it is "bacterial SSU rRNA". It matches the Rfam family "Bacterial small subunit ribosomal RNA", at positions 114 to 639 of the family's 1533-position model. The record is from RNAcentral.
UAUAUCGGAACCGUACCCUAGAGUGGGGGAUAACGUAGCGAAAGUUACGCUAAUACCGCAUACGCUCUCACUGGAGGAAAGCAGGGGAUCGCAAGACCUUGCGCUCAUGGAGCGGCCGAUAUCGGAUUAGCUUGUUGGUGGGGUAAAAGCUCACCAAGGCGACGAUCCGUAGCUGGUCUGAGAGGACGACCAGCCACACUGGGACUGAGACACGGUCCAGACUCCAUACGGGAGGCAGCAGUGGGGAAUUUUGGACAAUGGGGGCAACCCUGAUCCAGCCAUGCCGCGUGUGUGAAGAAGGCCUUCGGGUUGUAAAGCACUUUUGUCCGGAACGAAACGGCGGAUGCCAAUACCAUCCGUUAAUGACGGUACCGGAAGAAUAAGCACCGGCUAACUACGUGCCAGCAGCCGCGGUAAUACGUAGGGUGCAAGCGUUAAUCGGAAUUACUGGGCGUAAAGCGUGCGCAGGGCGGUUUCGCAAGUCAGAUGUGAAAUCCCCGGGCUUAACCUGGGAACUGCAUUUGAAACUACGAG